AUGUUUGCAUUUCUUUCCCUUACUGUACCGAAAAUGAACCGAACCAUGACUUUAAAACCGAGGCCAAACACAAGCGUUACUUCGGCCACUCAGCCCACGUGACCAACAUUCGUUUCUCUUACGAUGACAAAUAUGUGAUAAGUGUAGGAGGCAACGAUUGUAGUGUGUUCGUAUGGAGAUGCAUCUGAUGGGCCUCCACACAGCUGGGAAUCUCUCCUCCAAACAUCAAGCCAGAGAUACCUCCAGCGUCCGGAUGCUGCACUUCUGUUAUGCUGCGUUUUACCCCUCUAGACCUGAUGGAUCCUAGACAAGUCUGAGCUCGAAGAGGGUUUUUUAACCAUUCUGUGAAGUGCAAUGUUUACGCUUACGUGUACUUUUACAAAGAAAAAGAAAAAAGAUACACUCAUAACUCAUGCCACUGUUUCAGAAAUAAAUGUAUUUUUUGUUCGGAUUCUGAAGUGCCUUGGAGACACAGUUUGCUGAUCUUUGCCCCGAAAUGUUCAUAUGAUGCAUAUAUGGUGCUAAAUGUCCACUUAGAGCUUUUUACAAUUCUUUUAAAAACCAUGCAUUAUGCAAUUUCAUUUCUUCUUUAUCUUCUUUUACAUUUUGUACAUAAAUGUCAACUCACUAAAUGCUCUUCCUGUUAAAAAUAUCAAAGUAUCCAAAUACAUGGGACUCAGGAGAAAUUAAGUACUGUAAUGUGUAGAUGUUAUAUUUGACCUGUGCUAUUUUUGUUAAAAUAUUUAUUUUUUAUGUACGUACUUGCGUAUGACGUAUGCAAAUUAGUCUGUGGGCGUAUAUGAAAAUUGAAAAUGCAAAAAAUUUGCUGUCCAAAUAUUAGUUAUAUGAAA
Long non-coding RNA from Carassius auratus (goldfish), 851 nucleotides. RefSeq lists it as uncharacterized. The transcript is spliced from 3 exons. The record is from RefSeq and is a predicted model, not a curated record. NCBI's taxonomy places the organism in Eukaryota, Metazoa, Chordata, Actinopteri, Cypriniformes, Cyprinidae.